Molecule: ribosomal RNA, 2280 nt
Filed under: Mesorhizobium sp.
Lineage: Bacteria; Pseudomonadati; Pseudomonadota; Alphaproteobacteria; Hyphomicrobiales; Phyllobacteriaceae
Description: partial 23S ribosomal RNA
Rfam family: Bacterial large subunit ribosomal RNA
Source: RNAcentral
CCCGACAAGGGGAGUGAAAGAGUACCUGAAACCGAUUGCCUACAAACAGUGGGAGUCCGCAAGGAUGACCACGUACCUUUUGUAUAAUGGGUCAGCGACUUAGUGUGACGAGCAAGCUUAAACCGGUAGGUGUAGGCGCAGCGAAAGCGAGUCUGAACAGGGCGUUCAGUUCGUCGCAUUAGACCCGAAACCGAGUGAUCUAGCCAUGAGCAGGUUGAAGGUAAGGUAACACUUACUGGAGGACCGAACCCAUAACUGUUGCAAUAGUUCGGGAUGACUUGUGGCUAGGGGUGAAAGGCCAAUCAAACUCGGAAAUAGCUGGUUCUCCGCGAAAUCUAUUUAGGUAGAGCGUCGACCGAAUACCCCAGGGGGUAGAGCACUGGAUGGGCUAGGGGUCCUCACCGGAUUACCAAACCUAACCAAACUCCGAAUACCUGGGAGUACUAGUCGGCAGACACACGGCGGGUGCUAACGUCCGUCGUGAAAAGGGAAACAACCCUGACCUACAGCUAAGGUCCCCAAGUUAUGGCUAAGUGGGAAAGGAUGUGAGGAUCCCAAAACAACCAGGAUGUUGGCUUAGAAGCAGCCAUCAUUUAAAGAAAGCGUAACAGCUCACUGGUCUAAAUAAGGGUCUUUGCGCCGAAAAUGUAACGGGGCUAAAGCCAUACACCGAAGCUUAGGGUUCGUGAGCAAUCACGAGCGGUAGCGGAGCGUUCUGUAAGCUGAUGAAGCCGUACCCGUGAGGGGCGGUGGAGGUAUCAGAAGUGCGAAUGCUGACAUGAGUAACGUAAGGGGAGUGAGAGACUCCCCCGCCGAAAGACCAAGGGUUCCUGCUUAAAGUUAAUCUGAGCAGGGUUAGCCGGCCCCUAAGACGAGGCGGAAACGCGUAGUCGAUGGGAACCACGUUAAUAUUCGUGGGCCUGGAGGUAGUGACGGAUCACACAAGUUGUCCAAUCUUAUCGGAUUGAACGGGCAGCGGAGUGGUUCCAGGAAAUAGCUCCUCCUUAUAGACCGUACCCGAAACCGACACUGGUGGUCAGGUAGAGUAUACCAAGGCGCUUGAGAGAACUAUGCUGAAGGAACUCGGCAAAUUGCACGCGUAACUUCGGAAGAAGCGUGACCCUUUUCUACGCAAGUGGAGGAGGGUGGCACAGACCAGGGGGUAGCGACUGUUUAUCAAAAACACAGGGCUCUGCGAAGCCGCAAGGCGACGUAUAGGGUCUGACGCCUGCCCGGUGCUGGAAGGUUAAGAGGAGGGGUGCAAGCUCUGAAUCGAAGCCCCAGUAAACGGCGGCCGUAACUAUAACGGUCCUAAGGUAGCGAAAUUCCUUGUCGGGUAAGUUCCGACCUGCACGAAUGGCGUAACGACUUCCCCGCUGUCUCCAGCAUAGACUCAGUGAAAUUGAAUUCCCCGUGAAGAUGCGGGGUUCCUGCGGUUAGACGGAAAGACCCCGUGCACCUUUACUAUAGCUUUACAUUGGCAUUCGUAGUGGCAUGUGUAGGAUAGGUGGUAGGCUUUGAAGCCUGGGCGCCAGCUCAGGUGGAGCCACCCUUGAAAUACCACCCUUAUUACUAUGGAUGUCUAACCGCGGCCCGUUAUCCGGGUCCGGGACAAUGUAUGGUGGGUAGUUUGACUGGGGCGGUCGCCUCCUAAAGAGUAACGGAGGCGCGCGAUGGUGGGCUCAGAACGGUCGGAAAUCGUUCGCUGAGUGCAAUGGCAUAAGCCUGCCUGACUGCGAGACUGACAAGUCGAGCAGAGACGAAAGUCGGUCAUAGUGAUCCGGUGGUCCCGCGUGGAAGGGCCAUCGCUCAACGGAUAAAAGGUACGCCGGGGAUAACAGGCUGAUGACCCCCAAGAGUCCAUAUCGACGGGGUUGUUUGGCACCUCGAUGUCGACUCAUCGCAUCCUGGGGCUGGAGCAGGUCCCAAGGGUAUGGCUGUUCGCCAUUUAAAGCGGUACGUGAGUUGGGUUCAGAACGUCGUGAGACAGUUCGGUCCCUAUCUGCCGUGGGUGUAGGAAUAUUGAAAGGAUCUGUCCCUAGUACGAGAGGACCGGGAUGGACGGAUCUCUGGUGGACCUGUUGUGGCGCCAGCCGCAUCGCAGGGUAGCUAUAUCCGGACGGGAUAACCGCUGAAGGCAUCUAAGCGGGAAACCCACCUUGAAACGAGUAUUCCCUGAGAACCGUGGAAGACGACCACGUUGAUAGGCCGGGUGUGGAAGAGCGGCAACGCUUGAAGCUUACCGGUACUAAUAGUUCGAUAGGCUUGAUCGUUCUCAUU